AAUGAACGUUGGCGGCGUGGAUUAGGCAUGCAAGUCGAGCGCUCAUAGCAAUAUGGGAGCGGCGAACGGCGUAGUAAUACGUAGGAACGUACCCUCGGGUCGAGGAUAGCUAUGGGAAACUGUAGGUAAUACUCGAUAACCUCUGCGGAGCAAAGGUGUGAUUCCGCCCGAGGAGCGGCUUACGCGAUAUUAGCUAGUUGGUAGGGUAAUGGCCUACCAAGGCGAUGAUGUCUAGGGGGUGUGAGAGCAUGGCCCCCACGACCGGAACUGAGAUACUGUCCGGACACCUACGGGUGGCUGCAGUCGAGAAUCUUCCGCAAUGGACGAAAGUCUGACGGAGCGACACCGCGUGCGGGAUGAAGGCCCUUGGGUUGUAAACCGCUGUCAGAGGGGAUGAAAUCUUCGGAGGUGCUCCUCCAAAGUUGACAGAGCCUCAAAGGAAGCACGGGCUAAGUACGUG
RNAcentral lists this ribosomal RNA (460 nucleotides) under uncultured bacterium. Its description in RNAcentral is "bacterial SSU rRNA". It matches the Rfam family "Bacterial small subunit ribosomal RNA", at positions 29 to 507 of the family's 1533-position model. The record is from RNAcentral.